UCUUUGUGCAGACAGACAUUUGAGCAAGUUCGUAGAAGGGCUCCGCCGAGCAGUGACGAUGGGCUGCGAGUCGGCUGAGACCGGCCUCGGGAGGCGUGAAGCGCCCGCCGUUACUGGCAGGGCUCCGCGGAGCCGGGUGCCCUUCGGGUGCUGGGCGCAGACGUGAGCGACCUACAGACACGCUCCCUCACUUAGGAAAUUAGUGCGGCGUGAUAACUUGAGAGCUUGGAGGAGCUGAAAAAUGAAUAGCAUUUGGGGAAGAAAGAGGAUUUCCAGGCAGGAAGCCACAUCCUGUUACCUAUGCAUUGGUAGGAAAGGCAUGUUCAAAAUGAAGUUGCUACGAAUUUCCUUACUGCCCUUGAAGGCCUUCCUGAUGCAAACGCUGUUUCUCAGUGUUAGACGGCACGGCAGCCCGCACGACGGUUCCGCAAGAAAAGCCAUGAUGAACCAGCCUGAGCUAAGUCGGGUUUUAUUAAUCCAGUUCUGGGGGAAUAUCAGGUUAUAACUGAGAUAACCUCCUGAAAGCUUUCCAGUGCUCAGCCGAGGGCUGUGACCCAACAAAGGUGAAGUAAGGUGAGCCGACGUGCAGGCGUGUUACACUCUGAGCCGGGAGGUAGGAGCCCAGGAACCAACAUCAACGCCCCGAGGAACCACAGAGUGCCCCCGGGCCACAGGAGCGGGUCCCAGCAGGUGGGCGUGGCCUGGGGGCCAGACAUGGGGGAAGUAAAAUUACACGGGAGUUUUGUUAUCCGUAAACUGAGGGAAGUACAAAUACACGACAAAGGGCGCCUAAAGGCUGGCGAGUUCUCCAGAUAAGCUGUAUUAAGGCCAAGGAACAAACAUUUCCAAUUUAGAUCUCUAAAUAUGCCCAAUAAUAACUGUCAGGGUGCCCUCCCAGCUCUCCACACAUCCCCGGGGCGGGGGCAAAAAGGAGAUUUUCGUGACUUUAAAUGUUACAAGUGAACCCACACAUGCCACGUGUGUGUACACUAUUUUUCCAAAAUACAAAAGUAUAAAAAUAAAAUUUCUGCCUUCUGUAUCUAGAAACAUCUA
This is a non-coding RNA of Manis javanica (Malayan pangolin), 1053 nucleotides long. Lineage: Eukaryota; Metazoa; Chordata; Mammalia; Pholidota; Manidae. The record is from RefSeq and is a predicted model, not a curated record.